AUUGAACGCCGGCGGCAGGCCUAACACAUGCAAGUCGAGCGGAUGAGGGAAGCUUGCUUCCUGAUUUAGCGGCGGACGGGUGAGUAAUGCCUAGGAAUCUGCCUAUUAGUGGGGGAUAACGUUCCGAAAGGAACGCUAAUACCGCAUACGUCCUACGGGAGAAAGUGGGGGAUCUUCGGACCUCACGCUAAUAGAUGAGCCUAGGUCGGAUUAGCUAGUUGGUGGGGUAACGGCUCACCAAGGCGACGAUCCGAAGCUGGUCUGAGAGGAUGAUCAGCCACACUGGAACUGAGACACGGUCCAGACUACUACGGGAGGCAGCAGUGGGGAAUAUUGGACAAUGGGCGAAAGCCUGAUCCAGCCAUGCCGCGUGUGUGAAGAAGGUCUUCGGAUUGUAAAGCACUUUAAGUCGGGAGGAAGGGCUGUAGGUUAAUACCUUGCAGCCUUGACGUUACCGACAGAAUAAGCACCGGCUAACUUCGUGCCAGCCGCCGCAGUAA
RNAcentral lists this ribosomal RNA (500 nucleotides) under uncultured bacterium. Its description in RNAcentral is "partial 16S ribosomal RNA". It matches the Rfam family "Bacterial small subunit ribosomal RNA", at positions 30 to 523 of the family's 1533-position model. The record is from RNAcentral.